This is a long non-coding RNA of Polypterus senegalus (gray bichir), 252 nucleotides long. RefSeq lists it as uncharacterized. The transcript is spliced from 3 exons. Lineage: Eukaryota; Metazoa; Chordata; Cladistia; Polypteriformes; Polypteridae. The record is from RefSeq and is a predicted model, not a curated record.
GGAGACUCUACCUACUCCAUAUAACUUGAAAAGACAUCAAACAAACACAUAGAUGGGGCACCUGAAGAUUAUUCUCGGAAUCAUUGGAAAAAGGUGUAACAAAACAAGCACACAACAAUUGCAGAAACGUCUUCUCAGAUGGGAGUCUAAUGUUUGCCUCAAGAUGGCGGAGGAGCUGCUUAUCAGAACGAAAGAUUGACACCAUGAGGAACAGUGACAUCAUUUCAGGUUCCAGUAACAUGAACCCGCUUC